RNAcentral lists this unclassified non-coding RNA (250 nucleotides) under plant metagenome. Its description in RNAcentral is "partial contains small subunit ribosomal RNA, internal transcribed spacer 1, and 5.8S ribosomal RNA". The record is from RNAcentral.
GUAGGUGAACCUGCGGAAGGAUCAUUAUCACGUAUCCACGUAUAAACCAUUGCGAACUGUUUUUCACCUUUGUGAGGGAAAAAGGAAGAUAGGAGGAUAGCAAUUGAAUCCUGUUUCUCUUUUUUUACUCACAAAGCGUAUAACCUUUAUAUUAACCAUUUUAACAAAUCUUUAUAACUUUAUGAACUAAUUUUUAUUUUAUACUCUUCGGAGAUAAAAUUCAUUACGAAACAAAGAACAACUCUUAGCA